This 530-nucleotide ribosomal RNA is filed under the name uncultured Flavobacteriia bacterium. RNAcentral describes it as "bacterial SSU rRNA". It matches the Rfam family "Bacterial small subunit ribosomal RNA", at positions 373 to 898 of the family's 1533-position model. The record is from RNAcentral. Lineage: Bacteria; Pseudomonadati; Bacteroidota; Flavobacteriia.
GGACGAAAUSUGAUCCAGCCAUGCCGCGUGCAGGAUGAAAGCCCUACGGGUUGUAAACUGCUUUUAUACAGGAAGAARCASUCCGACGUGUCGGAGCUUGACGGUACUGUAAGAAUAAGGAUCGGCUAACUCCGUGCCAGCAGCCGCGGUAAUACGGAGGAUCCAAGCGUUAUCCGGAAUCAUUGGGUUUAAAGGGUCCGCAGGCUGUUUUUUAAGUCAGAGGUGAAAUCCUACAGCUCAACUGUAGAACUGCCUUUGAUACUGAAAAACUUGAGUUAUUGUGAAGUGGUUAGAAUGUGUGGUGUAGCGGUGAAAUGCAUAGAUAUCACACAGAAUACCGAUUGCGAAGGCAGAUCACUAACAAUAUACUGACGCUCAUGGACGAAAGCGUGGGGAGCGAACAGGAUUAGAUACCCUGGUAGUCCACGCCGUAAACGAUGGAUACUAGCUGUUCGUCUAACAUUGGUUAGAUGAGUGGCUAAGCGAAAGUGAUAAGUAUCCCACCUGGGGAGUACGGUCGCAAGACUGAA